Molecule: non-coding RNA, 3545 nt
Organism: Nicotiana tabacum (common tobacco)
Lineage: Eukaryota; Viridiplantae; Streptophyta; Magnoliopsida; Solanales; Solanaceae
Source: RefSeq, a predicted model, not a curated record
CCUUUCUGUUUGUUUUAUUUUGUUUUUUCGGUUAUUUAUUCAGGAAAGGUCUAAAUUUGUAAUCUAAAUUGCUGUUAUUUGCUUUCUCCGGUAAUAGUUUGGUUGACUUUACUUGCUCUGUGAUUAAGAGUGGAAACUCCAAAAGUUACAUUUCCCCCAUAGUUUAGUUUUGUUUCAUCAAGUUUAUCGAUUAAAAUGAGUGAUUCUUAUACCAUAUUCGCUUCCAAUCUGCGAGCUCGAUGGAACGGUGUUUUCUUCAAUUUUGUCACUUCUUAUAUGCUGCAAUUUAUGCAUGUAGUUGUGUAUUCCUGUUUUUAUUUGGGGUUUUUAGUUCCAUGCCUUUCAACUACGAUUUACCUGAUUAUUUUGCAGAAAGUGAAAGAUCAGGACAUCAGGUAUCUACUUGUUUGAUUUGAAAAAAGGGCGUUUAUAGGCAAACAUGCUGCAUUUACGUGUUCGUUCUGUUAUGCCGUUGACCACUCAAUUGUAUUUAAUCUUUAUACUCCCGUAAAACUCCAUCUUGCCAUGAGUUUCUCCUCCGCGCAAUAAAUGAGUCAUUAAAAUAACUGAUUUGCUUUAUCGAGAGCAAAGAGUUCAAACUCCGUGAAAGUGCCAAUUCGUCCAUCCACACUAGCCAACUAGCCAACCAGCCAACCACGAUAUCCAUUCGACAUAUAAUAUUGUUUAUGAUGAAAUUAUCCAAAGACGUCCAUGUAAGUCUUUCACUAUCUCCAAUUUGGAUGAAUUUCUGCUCUAUUUCGUCCUUUUACUCAUGUUUAUUUUGCUUAAUCUCUUACAAAUAUUCACAUUUGUUUCUUUUUUGUCAAAUUGUCAACGAGGUUGAGAAUGGACUUUUACUUACCUCAAUUUCGGAAAGAAGUUCAGUAGUAAGGGGUUUCCAUCAUAUUACUAUAUCUUAAUGCUUAUAUGAUCUUAUUCGAUAUCAUAGAUUUGACCAUCUACUUAUUCUUCCACUUCCUUUUACAUUGCUAUCUCAAUGUAUUUAAUAAUCAGUUGCUCAAUUCUUUAACUUUGUGUAAAAGCUAUUUGUCUUGUUUACUUGCGAACAACAUGAUUGCAGAGAAAUAGAACAGCCAGCCUACCAUACAACUGGUGCCAGUAAGAACUUCUUAAAUGACUGAAUGAGUAUUUUUGAAAUACGGUUAUUUCUUCAUCCUUUUUUCUUGAAUUUUUUUGAACUGACAGUUUUACCAUAUUGGAUAAUAGAAAAUUAAAUACCAUCCAACAUGUGAUGGCUUGUUGCCUGUAGGUCGUGAUGUGCCUUGAGAUAUGGGGUCUCUCAGAAAAAAGGACAUUAUCUCUAUUUGUCUCUCUUACUCGAACUAGCCACCCCUUGGGAACCGUCUCCCCUUUUACCCUGCAAUGAAGGGCGGAGUCAUGACACCAAAGUGCUCCUUCUACGGACAUCAAUAUCUUUUUCUCUUUCUCUUUGUCUUCCUUGAACGGUCCUUUGCUGGGAGAUGCCUUUAUACAAGGCAAGAACUUCUGAUACUUCUGAAACAUUUUGUUUUUCCCUGUUUUCUAGAUUUCUAAGCUUCUGUUACUGUCUACACUUUAGAGUAGAUGUCAAUUUUAAUGCAAGAUAGUGCCGACUCUGUAUUACAUGUUAUCAAGGUAGUGCACACACUAUGUUCCAUAGAGGUCAAGUUUUUAAAAGGUCAUAGGUUUUAGGUUGCUAGAUGAAAUAUUGAAACACGUUUGAGGAGCUGAUAAUGUAUUUGCCCUAAAAAACAGGGGAUUACAAGUAUAUCCUAGAUUGCAUAUGCUGGUAACACUGUUGGAAGUAUUUUCCUGCCAACUUUUGUAAUUGUGUAGGGACUAGGGCGCAUAUGGCUCGACGGUGCAGUCUUAUGGAAAAUUGAAAGGACCGCCUGAAGAUUAGCUUCAAAGCUUGAACUUUCAAUAUAGUCAAAAGAAAUGCGGAUGGCCUCAUUCCAGAAUCUGCAUUGACUGUUUUGAAUUGAAGGGACUUUGCCUACUAACUAGGAGCUUCAGUCACAUGAAGAAGUGUUAGUUCUUUGAUAUUAGUUGACUUGAAAAAGGUAUUGCAGAUCUGAUGCUCCUGUUGAUAUUUUUUCCCCUGCUCUGUGGAACUUGAAUUUCAUGCGUCUUUGUUUCUGCAUUUGAACAGCUUAGGCAAUAGACAAUUGUUAUCUCAUGGUUGAUUUUCUACUAUUGUUGUAGAAGGUUGUAAAGUUUUUAUAAUUAAGUGAUUUUUAGCUAGCCGGUAGAUUUACAUUGGUCCCAUUUUCAACAUCGAAAAUGGUAGAAACUAAUCUAAAAUUUUGGUGUUAGGCGAUGCCCAUGUUCUGAAGAAAUCUUUAACCGGAGUAAAAGAAGGGGUAUAUUGCACAUAGUUGUUGAACUAAGUGAUCUUGAGAAUGAAGUUAUAGUGAUAGGAUAAAAAGAUGUGGAUGAAAAUAUUCUACUACAGAUUAUAGGUAGACCAAGAAGAACCAGAAGUGUCAAAGUCCACUGGGUUACCUAUAAACUCAACCAUACAAAAUGCUUCUUUAUUAUGUGAGGUUAAGAAACAACACUGGAAGACUGGUAGCAUAGGAAAGACAACAAAAGAACAAGAGAUAUGGUAGAAGAAAAUGGGAGAUAUAGUUCAAUCCCAAGAAGAAACUAUUCUAGCUGCUCAUUUUUCUGAGUUAUUAAGACGAGUCUACACAUAAGACUAUGGUAGUCAAGGUAUUUAGUGGCUUAUUCUGAUAUUGAAUUCACUUUGUAGAGUUUUUCAUUAUACUUGGAGCAUUUUUUGCUUAAUUUCUACCCCAAUAAAUUUUAAACUUUAAAAAGGACUUUCAUAUUACCUAUUGUUUAAGGUAUUGAUAAUAUUUUUUAUUGUGCCUUACCUCUUCAGAUUUUAUUAACAUUGAGAUACAGUUUUCGCUUGUGCAUUUCAACAUUAGUCACAUCAAAGUACUAGAUACACCACAGCUUAUUUUAACAUUAACUUAUCUUAAUUACAUGAAGCCCAAUCUGUUGGGGUUGUUGGUAAGUUGUUGAACAUUUCUACGUGAGAUUUUGUUGUAUAUUCAAACUGGGACUUUGUCAGGAUAAAAGGAAUCAGUUGGGGGUGGGCAUAAUCAUUUAUGUGGAGGCUCGUCACUUAUUUGCCUCUUGAUAUUCUUAAAUUUAUCAUCUCUUAUUUGGGCUGCCUUCACGACUAACAAGGAUUUGAGAGGUAUAAAGAAGCAAUUUGGGUGAUGAUCAAGGUCUUCUUGCUGCUGAAAUUCAGUCUCCACUUCACCUCGGCAAAGGAUGAUAGCAAUAUUGAGUCAAACCUUGUGUUGUGUUGAAGGACGAGCACUGAAAGAAGAAAAUAUUAUUGGAGUACCAGUAGUUGUAUAUACAGUUAAAAUAAUUGUGAUUUUUUGGUUGAUACAUAGUUUCUGUUAUAUAAUAUUAUAUGUUUACACUUUGGUUAAGAUUUCUGAAUAAUUUGGGAGCAACAGUUACAUAAAACAAAGAUAUUGGAAUGUAAAGCUUAUUAGUUAGUACCGUGGAGCUUUUCAUUA